GGUGAAGCCCAGCUUGCUGGGUGGAUCAGUGGCGAACGGGUGAGUAACACGUGAGCAACCUGCCCUCCACUUCGGGAUAAGCCUUGGAAACGGGGUCUAAUACCGGAUAUGAGCGCUCAUCGCAUGGUGGGUGUUGGAAAGUUUUUCGGUGGGGGAUGGGCUCGCGGCCUAUCAGCUUGUUGGUGGGGUGAUGGCCUACCAAGGCGUCGACGGGUAGCCGGCCUGAGAGGGCGACCGGCCACACUGGGACUGAGACACGGCCCAGACUCCUACGGGAGGCAGCAGUGGGGAAUAUUGCACAAUGGGCGCAAGCCUGAUGCAGCGACGCCGCGUGAGGGAUGACGGCCUUCGGGUUGUAAACCUCUUUCAGCAGGGAAGAAGCGCAAGUGACGGUACCUGCAGAAGAAGCGCCGGCUAACUACGUGCCAGCGGGGGGGGUGGGGUGCUACCAUGCAGUCGAACGGUGAAGC
Molecule: ribosomal RNA, 470 nt
Filed under: Isoptericola variabilis
Lineage: Bacteria; Bacillati; Actinomycetota; Actinomycetes; Micrococcales; Promicromonosporaceae
Description: bacterial SSU rRNA
Rfam family: Bacterial small subunit ribosomal RNA
Source: RNAcentral